AAACAUUGGCGAAUUAAAGUGAUUUUCCUACCGUAGCCAUAUUUUACUAUACCGAUCACAUCCUAUUUCAUGAGAUUUUUGAAAAUUUUGCUUCCUCUAUAUAGUUGGCUCACAAAGUUGUACACUAGCAUAUAACCUACCAAACAAGUUAUACCACAUUAGUAGGCACGUUAUAAUUCCGAUGACUAAAAUUCACAAAAUAAAAAUUGACCGUAUGAUGUGAUCAUUAUAGUGAAACAUGGCUAUGAUAUAAAAUUCAACUGGAUUCAACAAUGUUCGUGGCUCGAUCAAAGCGGUCAACCCUAAUUUAUUUUCACUUCUCACACGAAAACUAUCUUACCUACCUCUUCGUGACCUAGUUUGGUGGAUUCUUCAAAACAACAAAGUGUCACAUAGAUGAGACAUAACCACCCAUGUAAAACUUUGGGGCCGUUUACCACCCGAGGAUAGGGCUCUCCUUAGUGAAGCAUAAGCGUAAAUAGGGUUGACCGCUUCGAUCGGGGACUAAACAUUGGCGAAUUAAAGUGAUUUUUCCACCGUAGCUGUAUUUUACUAUAUCGAUCACAUCAUAUUUCACGAGAUUUUUAAAAAUUUUGCUUCCUCUAUAUAGUUGGUUCACAAAACUAUCUUACCUACCUCUUUGUGACCUAGUUUGGUGGAUUCUUCAACACAACAAAGUGUCACAUAGAUGAGACAUAACCACCCAUGUAAAACUUUGGGGCCGUUUAUCACCCGAGGAUAGGGCUCUCCUUAGUGAAGUAUAAGCGUAAAUAGGGUUGACCGCUUCGAUCGGGACCUAAACAUUGGCGAAUUAAAGUGAUUUUUCCAUCGUAGCUGUAUUUUACUAUAUCGAUCACAUCAUAUUUCACGAGAUUUUUAAAAAUUUUGCUUCCUCUAUAUAGUUGGUUCACAAAGUUGUACACUAGCAUAUAACAUAUCAAACAAAUUAUAAUACUUUAGUAGGCAUGUUAUGAUUUCGAUGACUAAAAUUCACAAAAUGAAAAUUAACCGUAUGAUGUGAUCAUUAUAGUGAAACAUGGCUAUGGUAUAAAAUUCAACUGGAUUCAACAAUGUUCGGGGCUCGAUCAAAGCGGUCAACCCUAAUUCAUAUUCACUUAUCACACGAAAACUAUCUUACCUACCUCUUUGUGACCUAGUUUGGUGGAUUCUUCAACACAAUAAAGUCUCACAUAAAUGAGAUAUAACCACCCAUGUAAAACUUUGGGGACGUUUACCACCCAAGGAUAGGGCUCUCCUUAGUGACGCAUAAACGUAAAUAGUGUUGACCGUUUCGAUCGGGGCCAAAAAUUUGGUAAAUUAAAGUGAUUUUUCUACCGUAGCCAUAUUUUACUAUACCGAUCACAUCCUAUUUAACAAGAUUUUUGAAAAUUUUGCUUCCUCCAUAUAGUUGGUUCACAAAGUUGUACACUAGCAUAUAAUCUACCAAACAAGUUAUACCACAUUAGUAGGUGCGUUGUGAUUCAAAUUACUAAAAUUCAGACGCAGUUGUGAAGUGGGUCCCGCCUGUGGUCCGUGACA
Molecule: long non-coding RNA, 1539 nt
Filed under: Fragaria vesca (wild strawberry)
Lineage: Eukaryota; Viridiplantae; Streptophyta; Magnoliopsida; Rosales; Rosaceae
Description: long non-coding RNA (FVES_LNC004815)
Source: RNAcentral